UCCGAGUUGACCCCGGCAGUCUGCAAUGAGUCCCCGACAUUACUCGCUGGCAACAUUGCACGAGGGUUGCGCUCGUUGCGGGACUUAACCCAACAUCUCACGACACGAGCUGACGACAACCAUGCACCACCUGUGCAGGACCCUUGCGGACCUCACAUCUCUGUGAGAUUUCCCUGCAUGUCAAGCCUUGGUAAGGUUCUUCGCGUUGCGUCGAAUUAAGCCGCAUGCUCCGCCGCUUGUGCGGGCCCCCGUCAAUUCCUUUGAGUUUUAGCCUUGCGGCCGUACUCCCCAGGCGGGGCGCUUAAUGCGUUAGCUGCGGCACGGAGAACGUGGAAGGUUCCCCACACCUAGCGCCCAACGUUUACGGCGUGGACUAC
RNAcentral lists this unclassified non-coding RNA (377 nucleotides) under uncultured Frankiales bacterium. RNAcentral's name for it is "contains 16S-23S intergenic spacer region". Lineage: Bacteria; Bacillati; Actinomycetota; Actinomycetes; Frankiales. The record is from RNAcentral.